GACGAACGCUGGCGGCGUGCUUAACACAUGCAAGUCGAACGGAAAGGCCCUGCUUGCAGGGUGCUCGAGUGGCGAACGGGUGAGUAACGCGUGGGUGAUCUGCCCCUUACUUUGGGAUAAGCCUGGGAAACUGGGUCUAAUACUGGAUAGGACCAUGCUGUAGGUGGUGUGGUGGAAAGAUUAGUUUCGGUAAGGGAUGAGCUCGCGGCCUAUCAGCUUGUUGGUGGGGUAAUGGCCUACCAAGGCGUCGACGGGUAGCCGGCCUGAGAGGGUGGACGGCCACAUUGGGACUGAGAUACGGCCCAGACUCCUACGGGAGGCAGCAGUGGGGAAUAUUGCACAAUGGGCGCAAGCCUGAUGCAGCGACGCCGCGUGGGGGAUGACGGCCUUCGGGUUGUAAACUCCUUUCAGCCAUGACGAAGCCCUUGUGGUGACGGUAGUGGUAGAAGAAGCACCGGCUAACUACGUG
This 469-nucleotide ribosomal RNA is filed under the name uncultured bacterium. RNAcentral's name for it is "partial 16S ribosomal RNA". It matches the Rfam family "Bacterial small subunit ribosomal RNA", at positions 28 to 507 of the family's 1533-position model. The record is from RNAcentral.